GACGAACCGGACGAACGGUAUUCGGAAUUACUGGGCUUAAAGCGUGCGUAGGCGGCCGAGAAGGUGAGGUGUGAAAUCCCACGGCUCAACCGUGGAAUGGCGCUUCAAACCACUCGGCUCGAGGGAGACAGGGGUGAGCGGAACUGAUGGUGGAGCGGUGAAAUGCGUUGAUAUCAUCAGGAACACCGGUGGCGAAGGCGGCUCACUGGGUCUCUUCUAACGCUGAGGCACGAAAGCUAGGGUAGCGAACGGG
This 253-nucleotide ribosomal RNA is filed under the name uncultured bacterium. RNAcentral's name for it is "partial 16S ribosomal RNA". It matches the Rfam family "Bacterial small subunit ribosomal RNA", at positions 524 to 776 of the family's 1533-position model. The record is from RNAcentral.